ACGGGGGGUGCGAGCGUUGUCCGGAAUCACUGGGCGUAAAGGGCGCGUAGGCGGGUCAGCAAGUCGGGUGUGAAAGUCCAGGGCUUAACCCUGAAUCUGCAUUCGAAACUGUUGGUCUUGAGUACUGGAGAGGUAAGUGGAAUUCCUGGUGUAGCGGUGAAAUGCGUAGAUAUCAGGAGGAACACCGUUGGCGAAGGCGGCUUACUGGACAGAUACUGACGCUGAGGCACGAAGGUCGGGGGAGCAAACAGGA
This 253-nucleotide ribosomal RNA is filed under the name uncultured prokaryote. RNAcentral's name for it is "partial 16S ribosomal RNA". It matches the Rfam family "Bacterial small subunit ribosomal RNA", at positions 525 to 777 of the family's 1533-position model. The record is from RNAcentral.